UCCCUGGUGGUCCAGUGGUUAGGACGCCACGCUCUCACUGCCAACGGCCUGGGUUCAACCCCUGGUUGGGGAA
Molecule: transfer RNA, 73 nt
Filed under: Ovis aries (sheep)
Lineage: Eukaryota; Metazoa; Chordata; Mammalia; Artiodactyla; Bovidae
Rfam family: tRNA
About the family: Transfer RNA (tRNA) molecules are approximately 80 nucleotides in length.
Source: Rfam by way of RNAcentral